Molecule: ribosomal RNA, 491 nt
Filed under: uncultured bacterium
Lineage: Bacteria
Description: partial 16S ribosomal RNA
Rfam family: Bacterial small subunit ribosomal RNA
Source: RNAcentral
GAUGAACGCUGUCUACAGGCUUAACACAUGCAAGUCGAGGGGAAACGCCGGGGACGCUUGCUUCUCCGGGCGUCGACCGGCGCACGGGUGAGUAACGCGUAUCCAACCUGCCUCUGACUGAGGGAUAACCCGUCGAAAGUCGGCCUAAUACCUCAUGGCAUCGUCUGCGGGCAUCCAACGACGAUUAAAGAUUUCAUUGGUCAGGGAAGGGGAUGCGUCUGAUUAGCUUGUUGGCGGAGUAACGGCCCACCAAGGCUACGAUCAGUAGGUGUUCUGAGAGGAAGGUCCACCACAAUGGAACUGAGACCCAGACCAAACUCCGACGGGAGGCAGCGGUGAGGAAUAUUAGUCAAUGGGCGGGAGCCUGAACCAGCCGAGUAGCGGGCAAAAUGACGGCCCUAUGGGUUGUAAACUGCUUUUAUGCGGGGAUAAAGUGAGGGACGUGUCCUGCAUUGCAGGUACCGCAUGAAUAAGGACCGGCUAAUUCCGUG